CGAGGGCCGGUGCUCAGCCGGUAACUACCGUACCGGAACGCAACUCCAGUUUCGGUGUAGGGUCCGUGUACCCUUUGAUAGUCCCUUUUACCGUAAAAAACAGAAAAUGAAAACAUUCUUUUCUCGUUUUUCGUUUUUAAUCAAAAGCGGUAAAACGGAAGGGGACAGUCGUUUUCUCGUUAAUCCUUUAAAACCAAACUCACAACCCUUCUUACUCCGUUAAUCCCUUUUGGGGUUUUGAAGGGACUAUCAAAAGGUAAAGGGACCGUGUGGCUACAGCAGCUAGCUAGCCAGCUACCUUCUAUUCACAUGUAUUUAAGUCGGUGUUUCCCCUCCGUUAUUAAAGUCGAAAAGCGACGUUCCUUCGGGUGUUGUUUGUCGUUAAGCUGCAUACAAAUGUCUUAACUUCCUUCCGCAGAUGACGGGAGAUCUUUUGAUUUAUUUCGCUUUGUCUUUAUUCUACGCAACAAAGGGUCAACUAAAUAUACAAUUAAUACAUUCUGUCCUCUGCAGCUCUUCUGUGUUGCACGUCAAUACUUUGAGACAAACAAGGUCAAUCUAACGUAAGUGCUUUUCAAUAUAUGUUACAUAUCUGUCCUUCCUGCACAAUGAGCAUGAAUCUAAAAUUAAAUUAUUAAUAUUCCCCAAAUUCCAAUUAACUACUCUUCUGGCUGUUGGUAGAUAAACACUUCAAUCAUACUGUAAACUUUAAACAAUUCAUAUAUUGUUCAUAGUUUGAAGUUAAACAAUUCGAAGCUGUAGUUUGAAGCCAAGUGGUUUUUAUUUGUCUAUAUUUAGGGUAUUGUUCAUUGUUCAAUUUCAUGUAUGGGUUCAGACACUGGUAUUGUUUUAAAUGUGUCGGUUUAGCAUCGGUAGCUGGUUAGCUUAGCAUAAUGACUGCAGACAAGAGGGCUCGAACGGGAGGUUUAACGACCCGGAUUCAAGAGUUUAUAUAUUUCCGACUUGAAACAAUGGACCAAAAUCAAAAAUCGUUCUUUAUUUAUUCUUUAAAGUGUUUGCUUUCAAGAUCAAGAUGAUCGGGUCAUAGAAAACAAACAGAGCAAAGUGUUUUAUGCAGCAUGUGAAGUGGAUGAGCUCCAUCAAUACAGAUACACCGUCCACACACACGUUUACUUUAAAGGCUCAUUUCCAUAUUCAAGAUACCUUCACUGUAACCAUAGAGACGUGACAUCAUGAUGGAACAUUUCUCCAUGUUCCAUGUUCUAAGCUCCAUGUUCCAUGUUCUAUGCUCCAUGUUCUAAGCUCCAUGUUCUAAGCUCCGUUCACCUCAGCAUAAGGUCUGUGGCACAUUCAGUCAGUUAGUUUCAAACUACACACACUGAAGUUUUCCAGAGAGAAACUUGCAGAAAGUAACCGUAAGGCCUUAGGAGUGUGAAGAGGAGAUGAAGACGCCUUCUGCUGCACUCAACAGAGCUGAAGACCAACAGGACGCAAACAGGACAUCAUCAGGACGUCACGUCACCGGGGCGCGCUGAGAGUCGACCCCUCAGGAGCAGCUCCAGAUCCACACAAAGACUCACUAACGUUUCUAUUUUCCAACAGGCCCUUUUCCCCCUCUAUCACUUUCUGGCCCUCUCCCCACCCUCCACCCUCUCUCUUCUUUUCCCCCUCUAUCUGUUUCUGCCCCCACUCUCCCAUUGUCCCCCCCACUCUCUUCCCCCCGCCCCCAUCACUCUCCCUUCCUCCCCACUUCAUUUUUUUCAUUUUUCAUUUUUUUCAUUUUUCAUUUUUUUCAUUUUUCAUUUUUUUCAUUUUUCAAACGAACAAAACGUUUGACCUGGAUUUGCUCCAUAUAUGUGUGUGUGUGUGUGUGUGUGUGUGUGUGUGUGUGUGUGUGUGUGUGAGAGACUUUCUUCAGGUGUGCUGGGGACGUCCCUCCUGCAGCUGACCAUCAUGGGGGUAAAUGGCUGUGCCAAGCCAGUGUGGGGGGAUCUUCAGUGGAAGCCAGAGCGGAACCAGAGACGCGUGAAAAAGGAAAAGGAAAAAGGAGCCGUA
Long non-coding RNA from Gasterosteus aculeatus aculeatus (three-spined stickleback), 2016 nucleotides. NCBI's taxonomy places the organism in Eukaryota, Metazoa, Chordata, Actinopteri, Perciformes, Gasterosteidae. The record is from Ensembl.